AACCGAGAACUCCUACGGGAGGCAGCAGUGGGGAAUUUUGGACAAUGGGGGCAACCCUGAUCCAGCAAUGCCGCGUGAGUGAAGAAGGCCUUCGGGUUGUAAAGCUCUUUUGUCAGGGAAGAAACGGUAGUAGCUAAUAUCUAUUACUAAUGACGGUACCUGAAGAAUAAGCACCGGCUAACUACGUGCCAGCAGCCGCGGUAAUACGUAGGGUGCAAGCGUUAAUCGGAAUUACUGGGCGUAAAGCGUGCGCAGGCGGUUGUGUAAGUCAGAUGUGAAAUCCCCGGGCUCAACCUGGGAAUUGCAUUUGAGACUGCACGGCUAGAGGGUGUCAGGGGGGGGUAGAAUCCCACGUGUAGCAGUGAAAUGCGUAGAGAUGUGGAGGAAUACCGAUGGCGAAGGCAGCCCCCUGGGAUAACACUGACGCUCAUGCACGAAAGCGUGGGGAGCAAACAGGAUUAGAUACCCCUGUAGUCCGACUGAGA
This 485-nucleotide ribosomal RNA is filed under the name uncultured bacterium. RNAcentral's name for it is "bacterial SSU rRNA". It matches the Rfam family "Bacterial small subunit ribosomal RNA", at positions 327 to 805 of the family's 1533-position model. The record is from RNAcentral.